Molecule: transfer RNA, 73 nt
Rfam family: tRNA
About the family: Transfer RNA (tRNA) molecules are approximately 80 nucleotides in length. Their secondary structure includes four short double-helical elements and three loops (D, anti-codon, and T loops).
Source: Rfam
AGUCCCGUGGGGUAGGGGCCAAUCCUGCCGGCCUUUGGAGCCAGCGACGGCGGUUCGAAUCCGCCCGGGACUA